RNAcentral lists this ribosomal RNA (250 nucleotides) under uncultured bacterium. RNAcentral describes it as "partial 16S ribosomal RNA". It matches the Rfam family "Bacterial small subunit ribosomal RNA", at positions 525 to 775 of the family's 1533-position model. The record is from RNAcentral. RNAcentral also lists the same sequence under 1 other name.
ACGUAGGUGGCGAGCGUUGUCCGGAAUUAUUGGGCGUAAAGAGCAUGUAGGCGGCUUAAUAAGUCGAGCGUGAAAAUGCGGGGCUCAACCCCGUAUGGCGCUGGAAACUGUUAGGCUUGAGUGCAGGAGAGGAAAGGGGAAUUCCCAGUGUAGCGGUGAAAUGCGUAGAUAUUGGGAGGAACACCAGUGGCGAAGGCGCCUUUCUGGACUGUGUCUGACGCUGAGAUGCGAAAGCCAGGGUAGCGAACGG